Triticum urartu is the source of this 126-nucleotide non-coding RNA. The record is from Rfam. Lineage: Eukaryota; Viridiplantae; Streptophyta; Magnoliopsida; Poales; Poaceae.
CAUGUACUCCCUCCGUCCGAAAAAACUUGUCCCAAUCUUGUUUCUAAAAUAGAUGUAUCUAGCACUAACUUGGUGAUAGAUUCAUCCAUUUGAGGGACAACCUUUUUCGGACGGAGGGAGUAUAUG